UGGUAGUCCACACAGUAAACGAUGAAUACUCGCUGUUUGCGAUACAAUGUAAGCGGCCAAGCGAAAGCAUUAAGUAUUCCACCUGGGGAGUACGCCGGCAACGGUGAAACUCAAAGGAAUUGACGGGGGCCCGCACAAGCGGAGGAACAUGUGGUUUAAUUCGAUGAUACGCGAGGAACUUUACCCGGGCUUAAAUUGCAAAUGAAUAUGUAGGAAACUAUAUAGCCGCAAGGCAUUUGUGAAGGUGCUGCAUGGUUGUCGUCAGCUCGUGCCGUGAGGUGUCGGCUUAAGUGCCAUAACGAGCGCAACCUUUAUCUACAGUUACUAACAGGUGAUGCUGAGGACUCUGUAGAGACUGCCGUCGUAAGAUGUGAGGAAGGUGGGGAUGACGUCAAAUCAGCACGGCCUUUACGUCCGGGGCUACACACGUGUUACAAUGGGGGGUACAGAAGGCCGCUACCUGGCGACAGGAUGCCAAUCCCGAAAACCUCUCUCAGUUCGGAUCGAAGUCUGCAACCCGACUUCGUGAAGCUGGAUUCGCUAGUAAUCGCGCAUCAGCCAUGGCGCGGUGAAUACGUUCCCGGGCCUUGUACAC
This 595-nucleotide ribosomal RNA is filed under the name uncultured bacterium. Its description in RNAcentral is "bacterial SSU rRNA". It matches the Rfam family "Bacterial small subunit ribosomal RNA", at positions 788 to 1388 of the family's 1533-position model. The record is from RNAcentral.